This 453-nucleotide ribosomal RNA is filed under the name uncultured Bacteroides sp. RNAcentral's name for it is "partial 16S ribosomal RNA". It matches the Rfam family "Bacterial small subunit ribosomal RNA", at positions 341 to 792 of the family's 1533-position model. Lineage: Bacteria; Pseudomonadati; Bacteroidota; Bacteroidia; Bacteroidales; Bacteroidaceae. The record is from RNAcentral.
ACGGGAGGCAGCAGUGAGGAAUAUUGGUCAAUGGGCGGAAGCCUGAACCAGCCAAGUCGCGUGAAGGAUGAAGGUUCUAUGGAUUGUAAACUUCUUUUGUUCGAGGGUAAAGUGAGUCACGUGUGGCUUAUUGCAAGUAUCGAACGAAUAAGCAUCGGCUAACUCCGUGCCAGCAGCCGCGGUAAUACGGAGGAUGCGAGCGUUAUCCGGAUUUAUUGGGUUUAAAGGGAGCGUAGGCGGGUCUUUAAGUCAGUGGUCAAAGCGUGUGGCUCAACCAUACCACGCCAUUGAUACUGGAGACCUUGAGUGCACAUAAGGAUGGUGGAAUUCGUCGUGUAGCGGUGAAAUGCUUAGAUAUGACGAAGAACUCCGAUUGCGAAGGCAGCUGUCCGGGGUGUAACUGACGCUAAUGCUCGAAAGUGCGGGUAUCAAACAGGAUUAGAUACCCUGGUA